GACAAACGCUGGCGGCAUGCCUAACACAUGCAAGUCGAACGGACAGAACAGGGACGCUUUUCGCUGUGGAUCUGGACAGUUAGUUGCGGAUGGGUUAGUAACGCUUGGUCAACCUACCUUGUAACUUGGAAUAACCUCGACAAAUCGAAGCUAAUACCCCAUAAUAACCUUGCUUCUCAUGAAGUACGGAUGAAAUGCGGCCUUAGCGCUGUCGAUACCAGCUGGGUCCGCGUCUGAUUAGCUAGUUGGUGAGGUAAAGGCUCACCAAGGCGACGAUCAGUAGCCGGCCUGAGAGGGUGAACGGCCACAUUGGAACUGAGACACGGCCCAGACUCCUACGGGAGGCAGCAGUGGGGAAUCUUCCGCAAUGGGCGAAAGCCUGACGGAGCAAUGCCGCGUGAGUGAAGAAGGCCUUCGGGUUGUAAAACUCUGUUAUUAGCGAAGAGAGAGUGUUGAAGUAACUGAGAAUACUAGGACGGUAGAUGAGGAGGAAGCCCCGGCUAACUAUGUG
Molecule: ribosomal RNA, 511 nt
Filed under: uncultured bacterium
Lineage: Bacteria
Description: partial 16S ribosomal RNA
Rfam family: Bacterial small subunit ribosomal RNA
Source: RNAcentral